Cinara cedri is the source of this 639-nucleotide non-coding RNA. The record is from the annotation of a GenBank genome assembly. Lineage: Eukaryota; Metazoa; Arthropoda; Insecta; Hemiptera; Aphididae.
CAUUAUGCAACUACUAAGACCACGAUAAAACAAUUUGGUAAUGUACCUCUGUAUAUAACUAUUUAUAAAAGAAAACUUUUUCAAAACUAACAAUUUGUUGUUUUAUUGCUUUUGGAUUUCGAACGGAACAAGGAAAUUGCAUUUACUUUUACAAUAUGUAUUGUAUAGGUACUUAUUGCAGCGGUUUUUCUUGUUUUUUGUCUCUGAAAACUAUUUUCGGGAUAAUAAUAUUACAAUAUUCCGCGAAAGUUUCGUACUCGUACACUAAUUUGUUGAAUAAGUUUAAUUGAGUAACGGCGGUAAAUAUAUGUGAUAAAAAAAAAAAAAAAAAGGUUUCAUUUCGAAUUGGUCUCAACCCAGGAAGAUGUCCACAAAAAUCGUAAUAGUAUGCUGAGGAAAAAUUCAGCGAUUUGUUAUAAUUAGGGCUCGGAAGUUAUAGAAGCUAAAAAGGCAAAAUAUAGAUGCAAAUAUACACGGAAAACUUAUAAAAUAUGCAUGAAAAAAUCGAAAAUGUGCAAAAAAUUUAAUAAAUAUGCAAACAAUUAUUCAAAAAAAUUUAAACACAUUUUGUACAUUAAUAUACACAAAAAAAAAAGAUGAAAUUGCAUCGUUGUUGUUAAAUUAAUAAUAAACUGAGGC